UGUAUAUAUUAUACCCAUGUAUGUAUUAUAAUAUACAUAUACACACGUAUAUAGACAUAUACAUUAUAUAUUUAUACUAUAUGUAUAUAUAUAUAUUAUAAUAUACAUAUAUACACGUAUAUACAUGUAUAUUAUUAUUAUAACAUACCCAUAUAUAUUAUCUAUUAUAAUAUACAUAUGUAUAUGUAUAUGUAUUAUACCCAUG
RNAcentral lists this long non-coding RNA (205 nucleotides) under Prunus persica (peach). RNAcentral describes it as "long non-coding RNA (PPER_LNC007889)". Lineage: Eukaryota; Viridiplantae; Streptophyta; Magnoliopsida; Rosales; Rosaceae. The record is from RNAcentral.